Molecule: ribosomal RNA, 442 nt
Filed under: uncultured bacterium
Lineage: Bacteria
Description: partial 16S ribosomal RNA
Rfam family: Bacterial small subunit ribosomal RNA
Source: RNAcentral
CCUACGGGAGGCAGCAGUGGGGAAUAUUGGGCAAUGGGCGCAAGCCUGACCCAGCAACGCCGCGUGAAGGAAGAAGGCUUUCGGGUUGUAAACUUCUUUUGACAGGGAAGAGCAGAAGACGGUACCUGUCGAAUAAGCCACGGCUAACUACGUGCGAGCAGCCGCGGUAAUACGUAGGUGGCAAGCGUUGUCCGGAUUUACUGGGUGUAAAGGGCGGGUAGCCGGGCGGCCAAGUCAGAUGUGAAAGCCGGGGGCUCAACCCCCGAAAUGCAUUUGAAACUGUUGGUCUUGAGUAUCGGAGAGGCAGGUGGAAUUCCUAGUGUAGCGGUGAAAUGCGUAGAUAUUAGGAGGAACACCAGUGGCGAAGGCGGCCUUCUGGACGACAACUGACGGUGAGGCGCGAAAGCGUGGGGAGCAAACAGGAUUAGAUACCCUAGUAGUC